UAUCGCCAUUAAACCACCGACAACACGCCGCUAGCUACGACGCUAGCCCCUCGCUCCUGGCUACAGUGUAGGAUAGAAAACGUUCGACGCGGCGACCGUUGAAACGAAACACACCACGUCACCGUUUCCAGAAUGUGGAUGUCACAUUAAGACCAAUCAGCAACAGGUUUGUUGAAGCGCUGGAAGAAGAAGAAGGGGACGAAGAAGAAAACACGUCACAGUUAAAGGCAGCUGUCCCUCUCUGACUGAGCAGAAGAGUUGAUGCAUCACUGACACCCUGAGUUCAUUGUUAAACUGAAACACACAGAAGAAUAACAUAUUAUAUAUUAGACUAAACUAUUACAAAUACCCUUAAGAUCUCUAGCUAGUUUGUAUAGGUAAUGUGUUAAUAAUUGAUUCAUUAUUUGUAUUUAUCAGUAAAGUCUCUGAAUCAUUAAAAAAUAUUGGAAAGAAAUGAAUUGAAACUCUAGACACACUCAAGACCUUUAACUUCCACGGCGACAUUUUGUCACUAGGUUUCAAGAGAGAUUAUCUACAACUUCACAUUGUUAAAAAGUACAUUUGAUUUUUAAAACAUAUUAAAUCUGAGUAUGUUUUUCAACAGUGAACAAGUGGUUUGACAGAUGCUGAUCAUUGUUGCUUGAACUUCGUGAAACUACCCUUUGGCCUAUCUUAUUUCGGAAUUUAAUCCUUGCAGUGUAGCAAUUUGUCCAGCAGAGGGCGCCAUAUAACAAUGUCUCAGCAUAGAGGAGUCCGUAAAAACUUCAGGGCACUCACGUUGUACUUUUAACUUUGGUCAUUUACAUCAAAUAAACAUUUUAUGUGCUAUUUUUGCUUGGCAUGGACAUUGUAAAGUGUGUAAUGUCUCUUGCUCUUAAAUGGUUUUAAUUAUAAACAAUUGUCAUAUUAAAAUAAUUAGUUUAAAGAUUAAUGCAUGUUUUUUUCCAAAAUAAACAGACAGGAUGCACCUAUUUGUGUAUGUUUGUCAGCUAUAAAUUA
Scophthalmus maximus (turbot) is the source of this 999-nucleotide long non-coding RNA. RefSeq lists it as uncharacterized. The transcript is spliced from 2 exons. The record is from RefSeq and is a predicted model, not a curated record. NCBI's taxonomy places the organism in Eukaryota, Metazoa, Chordata, Actinopteri, Pleuronectiformes, Scophthalmidae.